Molecule: ribosomal RNA, 253 nt
Filed under: uncultured bacterium
Lineage: Bacteria
Description: partial 16S ribosomal RNA
Rfam family: Bacterial small subunit ribosomal RNA
Source: RNAcentral
UACGUAGGGUGCGAGCGUUAAUCGGAAUUACUGGGCGUAAAGCGUGCGCAGGCGGUUCGUUAAGUUCGUUGUGAAAGCCCCGGGCUCAACCUGGGAACUGCAAUGGAAACUGGCGGGCUUGAGUCCGGAAGAGGCGAGUGGAAUUCCUGGUGUAGCGGUGGAAUGCGCAGAUAUCAGGAAGAACACCAACGGCGAAGGCAGCUCGCUGGGACGGUACUGACGCUGAGACGCGAAAGCGUGGGGAGCGAACAGG